CCCAGCAAUAUGAUUUGCUUCACAAGUUCACAUAGUCUUCAGAUAUUGCUGAUUUCUAAUCAACAAACCAGUACUUGCCAAAAUGCACCAAAAUGCCAAACCAUUAAAGGACCACUAUAGUGCCAGGAAAACAUACUCGUUUUCCUGGCACUGUAGUGCCCUGAGGGUGCCCCCACCCUCAGGGUCCCCCUCCCGCCCGGCUCUGGAAGGGGGAAAGGGGUAAAAACUUACCUUUUUCCAGCGCUGGGUGGGGAGCUCUCCUCCUCCGAUCCUUCUCUUCUCC
Non-coding RNA from Pelobates cultripes (western spadefoot toad), 283 nucleotides. The record is from the annotation of a GenBank genome assembly. NCBI's taxonomy places the organism in Eukaryota, Metazoa, Chordata, Amphibia, Anura, Pelobatidae.